GUUUGAUGGGAACGCAGGGAAGUCAAAUCUUCUGUGGAGUUACGUUCUAAAUUCAGCAUGGGAGGAACAGUUGUGAGCAUUCUCAAUUGUAACUGAAGAAGACCUGGAAUCUAAGCUGCUUGUUCAAGGUCAUUCUGCUCAUUAAAGGCAGAACUCAGAAUUCAAACCAGAUCAUCUCAUUCCCAGCUUAGCGCUUUUGCCAAAGGAUUCCACUAUUUAGAAGAAGGAAGUUGACACCGAAAUUUUAUGUAGCUUCAUUCAGGGGACUGUGGAGUGUUAAAAAAAAAAUGACAAGAAGAAGGAAGGAAAAGCAAAACCUGGCCACGUGCUUUAAGAUUCACCUUUGGGAGGAGGCAGAAAUUUAUUGUGAUCAUCUUGUCUGUUUCCAUGAAUUAGCAGCCGAUGUUUCUCAUUCCCACUUCCAUAGCAAAAUGGAAGAAAUGAGUUGUACCCAAAUUUUUCUGGAAUAAUGGCACAAAAUGAUUUGU
Molecule: long non-coding RNA, 488 nt
Filed under: Microcebus murinus (gray mouse lemur)
Lineage: Eukaryota; Metazoa; Chordata; Mammalia; Primates; Cheirogaleidae
Description: lncRNA (ENSMICG00000048174.1)
Source: RNAcentral